AGUCUAUCCCGGUGCAAUGA
RNAcentral lists this unclassified non-coding RNA (20 nucleotides) under Mus musculus (house mouse). RNAcentral's name for it is "oocyte_clustered_small_RNA3385". Lineage: Eukaryota; Metazoa; Chordata; Mammalia; Rodentia; Muridae. The record is from RNAcentral.